UGCGUUAUAGAGCAGUUUGGUUAGCUCACCAGGCUCAUGCCCUGGAAGUCGUAGGUUCAAAUCCUGCUGACGCUA
Molecule: transfer RNA, 75 nt
Filed under: Sargassum thunbergii
Lineage: Eukaryota; Phaeophyceae; Fucales; Sargassaceae
Description: tRNA-Met
Rfam family: tRNA
About the family: Transfer RNA (tRNA) molecules are approximately 80 nucleotides in length. Their secondary structure includes four short double-helical elements and three loops (D, anti-codon, and T loops). Further hydrogen bonds mediate the characteristic L-shaped molecular structure. tRNAs have two regions of fundamental functional importance: the anti-codon, which is responsible for specific mRNA codon recognition, and the 3' end, to which the tRNAs corresponding amino acid is attached (by aminoacyl-tRNA synthetases). tRNAs cope with the degeneracy of the genetic code in two manners: having more than one tRNA (with a specific anti-codon) for a particular amino acid; and 'wobble' base-pairing, i.e. permitting non-standard base-pairing at the 3rd anti-codon position.
Source: RNAcentral